Molecule: long non-coding RNA, 3101 nt
Filed under: Triticum aestivum (bread wheat)
Lineage: Eukaryota; Viridiplantae; Streptophyta; Magnoliopsida; Poales; Poaceae
Description: long non-coding RNA (TAES_LNC024131)
Source: RNAcentral
GCGAGGGUCCCGUCUCCUGUAUAGCUGUAUUUGUAGUUAAGGUCUUGAUAAAUCUGAUUUGGGUUGAGCUUUCCCUGGCGUCUCUCCUUCCAGAUCUGGCCGUGCAGACCGUCGGAGAGGGAGACAUGGCGGCGGUUGCUUCCUUGUCCAAGUUCCUCACUCUCCUGUCUUUCUACUCCCCAUGAGAACUAUCACCCCAAAACUGAGAUGAGCCCAUCCCCCGCACGAUCGGGCGCGAUCCUUCGUUUCCUCUAUGCCGCAUCAUCCUACGGGGAAAGAUGGCCGUGUUCGUCCAGGCCAGCGCUCCCGGCCACCCGGCAGGAGGUCUAGGUUGCCUUUGCCGAUGCAUCAACCUGCGGGCGCUCCGCUGGCGCGGCGUGCCCAAUGCAGGUGUACGCCGGGUAUUCCCGUGUUUAUCCGAUGGCAGCGCAAUCACCGGCACAGCGUGUCGCAUUGUCUUCCUCAACGAUUGCCACGGCGCUGCUGUCGUAUUCGACCUCCUCACUUCGCCGCUGUGAUUCUAUCCGCUGGGAGGUACGUGCACAUUUAUUUCAUCCCCAAUUUUGCAUGCGUAUGAGAUUUGCUUAUUUGAUGAACUUCGGUCCUGCAGUAGUUUAAUCAGCUCAUCUUAGAGAUAUAGGCUAAUCCCUAGCUUAACAAUUUAUAAUUUAUCAGGCCAAUUACCUGAUGGGAGACAACCAGACGGGGAGAACGAUUGCUUGAAGAGCCUUAGGCAGUCUGCUCUCACAAGGAAAUGCAAAGGUAAUUUCACAAGAGAAGUGGUGAUGGCGAGGCUCUGCCACGGCAACCUUGUUCGCCUCCUUGCGUACUACAAUGAAGGAGACAAGUGGAUAUCCACUCAUCUAUGGCUACAUGUUGAACAACAUCAUGGAUCUCUACAUAUUUGGUACAUAUACUUGUAUAUUUUUUUCCUUGCCUAUGAUCAGAAUUUGGAUCACAGUAGACAAUCAGGUUCUCUUCUAUGAUUGUUGGUUAUUGUUUUCAUGUAGUCCAAUACAUAAGUACAGCUCAUAGCUGCAUGGUUAGAAUUCAGAGAAAAUGUACAUAAAGUUCCAGAUAAUAGAAUUGCAAACUUGGACAAUACCUUUAGAGGAAAUUUGUAUGCUGGACAUGCUUGACCAUGUCAAAGAUCAUGCAUGGGUAGUUAUAUCCUCGGGUUAUUCGUAUUAUCUGCAAAGUGAGCUUCAAAAUUUUGUAAACUAGCAUUUUCAAUAGUUCAGAGCUACUACUUCACUGUCAGUAUUUAGGUGGAUGGUCUCUGUUUUAAAUUCAUGAUACAAGUAAUGCACUUCGUCAAGUUUUAUUUAUCUGUGUCCUUGGUUCCAAUAGCUAUAUAAUUUCUUCGCAAGCACCCAAGUACGGCAACUCUAUUGCCGUUCAUGCUUGGCCUAUGCCCUACAGAGAGGAAUUAGUAUUUGCCUCUUUGUGUCAGAAUGUAGUUGUGUCGCAUGCCUCUUGUAUCAUUUUCAUUGUUGAUAGAUGCAUUACCAAAAUAUCAUUGCAAAAUUUCGUGGUUGCAGUAUUUGUCUUGUUAAUUUUGCAUUCCUCCCUUUUCUCAUAAAGUGUUAAUUCUGUGUUAGUUAUAUCUUAUGUUUUCUAUGUUCAUUGCUUCUGUUGACUUCAGAUUGUGCAUAUGUGGAGAAGCAUGUAUGAUUGCCCUCAGGUUUAGAACAUAUUGCAUAACAAGCCAUUCUCCUUGGCAACCGACCUAGAAGUGAGGUCACAAUUGACACCCCUUGUCGUCCAACUUCCGGCACUUGAAGUCUCUGUGCGACAAAAUUAUGCUUGCCAUCUGAUCACCUUGCCGCAUGGUAUGUUCAUGGGACAGAGAAUAUGAGAUGCAGCUCCCCAAUGUUUUCACUUCCCCACUCAAAAUUUUCAGGCCACAACCUGAAUAUUUGUUUCCUUGUUGUCUGUCAUCAGCAUUUUUCUUUGCAGAAACCUGGUUAAGGAAGUUACCAGUAGUCUAGUACUAAUAUUUUCGUAUGUAUGUACUUGUGCACUCACCCCUUUUAUAUACAUAUAUGGUUCAAAAAGCAUCUUUUACUUUAUUUUUUGUUUAUUUGCUCAGUACAAAAUGUAGUGCAGUCUAUGAUUUUUUUUCCUUGGUCUAAAUAUAACACAGACCCUCUACAGGCUCCUUAUUUUUUUUCCUUUGUCUAAAUAUACUACAGACCGUUUAUAUAUAUGCAGUACUGAUUGCCUAAUGUCCUUCUAGGUGAGAAGAUAGAUUAAGUUGGAGUUCGAGAGCUAAUAUUGUUGGCACAAAUGUUUUGAGCAAACAACUAAAAGAAGGGUAUACUAUGCUUUGCAGAUGGAAAAUGAUUCCACGGCCUCAUAUAUGCCUAUGGUAUAUGUAACUAAGCAUGAAUCAAUUUUUUUUCUCUUCAUGGUGCUAUUGCAUGCAGCAUGCUUGUGCAUAUUUAUCAAAGUAUUCAGUUGAACACUUCUACUUCAUUCUUGUUUGUUCUUGAAAGUGUGCUCAAGCAACCGUAAGUAUGUUAUUUGGAUAUAUUAAUUGUGUGGGCUGGAGGUGGAGCCUGUGUUAACCAAAAGCAGAUUAGUAUUGUAACACUUCCCAAAUGUGUGUGGAUGGAUUUUCUAUUUGUCACAUGCUCUGUCCCCUCAAUUUGGAGAGUAAUGAGAAAGCUGGGUGGAGAGAACAACAAAUCUUCGCCAAGGUAAAAAUGGAGAAGAAAAUAUUUGGCUUGGACAAGGGGUCAUCGAUCAGAAACCAUAAGUUUGAUUUUUGCUCAAUGCGUACACAUCAACAAUAUAGCAUAACUGUGAUCAAUGUUAUGAUACAUCUUUUUUGUCCACUAUGCUCCUAAGUAAACAAUGUCUACUUGAUUAUUUGUGAUUCCGUAGCGUAGCACGGGCAUCUUACUAGUGAUUUUUAAAUUAGGGACUAAUUAGGAAUUACACUGCACACGGUUUGCGAAAGCGAAACGUCUGCGAUAGAUGUGGAGAUCAGAAACGUUUCUAGGAUCCACUACGUGUGCGAUCAAUCUCCACUGUACACACGACAUCCUCUUGAAAACUGUUUGUGUUAGGCCACCUUGCGCAAAUGUUUACCAUAU